RNAcentral lists this ribosomal RNA (449 nucleotides) under uncultured bacterium. RNAcentral describes it as "partial 16S ribosomal RNA". It matches the Rfam family "Bacterial small subunit ribosomal RNA", at positions 39 to 523 of the family's 1533-position model. The record is from RNAcentral.
GCGGCAUGCCUUACACAUGCAAGUCGAACGCGAAUUUGUCUUCGGACAUUAGUAGAGUGGCAAACGGGUGAGUAACGCGUGGGAAUAUACCUUAUAGUACGGAAUAGCCUCGGGAAACUGGGAUUAAUACCGUAUACGCCCUUCGGGGGAAAGAUUUAUCGCUAUAAGAUUAGCCCGCGUCAGAUUAGCUAGUUGGUGGGGUAACGGCCUACCAAGGCAACGAUCUGUAGCUGGUCUGAGAGGACGAUCAGCCACAUUGGGACUGAGACACGGCCCAAACUCCUACGGGAGGCAGCAGUGGGGAAUAUCGGACAAUGGACGCAAGUCUGAUCCAGCAAUGCCGCGUGAAUGAUGAAGGCCUUAGGGUUGUAAAGUUCUUUAAGUAGGGAAGAUAAUGACGGUACCUACAGAAUAAGCACCGGCUAACUUCGUGCCAGCCGCCGCAGUAA